Long non-coding RNA from Dioscorea cayenensis subsp. rotundata (Guinea yam), 237 nucleotides. RefSeq lists it as uncharacterized. The transcript is spliced from 3 exons. Lineage: Eukaryota; Viridiplantae; Streptophyta; Magnoliopsida; Dioscoreales; Dioscoreaceae. The record is from RefSeq and is a predicted model, not a curated record.
CGACAAUCCUUUAUACCUUGUCUACUUGGGGCUUAGCUUUGUAUGGAUUAUACAGGCACCGGGCAGUGUUAAAAAGUUGCGGCAAGGGGUGUGGCUGCAUCGGGCAAAUUCGAUCAUGAAAGCUCUGUAAACAGCCACCAGCCAUUAGUCUAUCGACGAUCCAGCCAACCUCCGGUGAUUGGCCACCGGUCUGCCUGACCUCCGUUGACCGGCCAUUGGCGGUCCUGCUAGCCUUUG